Molecule: ribosomal RNA, 301 nt
Filed under: uncultured bacterium
Lineage: Bacteria
Description: partial 16S ribosomal RNA
Rfam family: Bacterial small subunit ribosomal RNA
Source: RNAcentral
CAGCCGCCGCGGGAAUACGAAGGGGGCUAGCGUUGCUCGGAAUUACUGGGCGUAAAGGGCGCGUAGGCGGACAGUUCAGUCGGGGGUGAAAGCCCGGGGCUUAACCUCGGAAUUGCCUUCGAUACUGGCUGUCUUGAGUAUGAGAGAGGUGUGUGGAACUCCGAGUGUAGAGGUGAAAUUCGUAGAUAUUCGGAAGAACACCAGUGGCGAAGGCGACACACUGGCUCAUUACUGACGCUGAGGCGCGAAAGCGUGGGGAGCGAACAGGAUUAGAUACCCCCGUAGUCCCUGUCUCUUAUAC